AAAAUAGCUUCUGUAUAUAUUUGGUACAUAUUUACAUUGUAACAGCUGCAUUCAGUACAGGUGUGCCAUGCUUUUUUUUUGUGGGACUUGACGAACCUUGACAAGUACAUUCAAGCCCCAUUCAUACCUGGUUCUAACAUGAAUCCUUCAUCCUGAUGUAAUCCGUUAUAAGUUCUGAUGAAAAUCAGUUCACAAUACGUCUUUAAAAUGCCUAGACCUGUCUAAAAAUGUGGACACAAUAAUACUGUGGAAGAGAUCAUGACGCAGAUUAGCACCAGGUAUAAACAGGGCUUCAGAGAAAUGCGGAACAGUACAGACAUCUAUCAACACAGGACCUUGGACAAUCACAUAUGAUACAUAGCAGCGAUGCAAAAACCAUGACACUGUCCUAAUCUUAACAUUAUGUACACUCUCACUCCCACAGGCCUGUUUCAUCUGUUGAAGAGGAUUCCCUCUUUACCCCUGGUUGAAGGAAUUAUUAAUCAUAUUAAUUAGCAUAAAAGUGUCAAUAUCAUCCAGCUCAACUCCCAAGACAAUGUAAUGUACCUGGAAUAAUAGACAGAAAGAAAGAGCACCUGAGUGCAUUUAGAAUCAGAACACAACACUGAAGUAAUCUAAUGACGACAAUAUUGCACUUCUGACACACACACAUACCUGUACAUACACACACAUACAUUAGAAAGGUGAAUACACCUUAGACACUAAUAAAGAUUCUUGCAAGUGCAGUGCUCCAGACAGACGUACAAAAAAACAGUGUUUCGCUUUCGCAUCAUCGUCAACAUAUAAAGUGCCAUCUCAUCAGAGGGGACUUGAACAUGGCAGACAGCUGGUUCACAACAGGUGCCAUCUUUGUUCCGAUCCCAACAGCCCUUCAGUUAGGAGAAGUUAACCCACAGACUGACCAAUGACUAAGACAAAUCGUUAAAAGCUCCAUCAAAAAGCAACUACGUCCAGCGCAACACGAACAUAGCGUUCACCCUAAAGGUAGCAGGAAAAAAAGUAAAGGUAACAAAAUAAAAAGCCAUAACAGAAAACAAAGCAAGCUCUUCAUAUGGUUGAUUGAAACUCUGCACUUGAAAUUGCAUGUACCGGUAAUAGAAAUUAUUUAAAAAAUAUAUAUUCAAAGACGGAAGCACAAUUAAAUAUGGCUGCCGUAAAUAGGUGAAACUGACGUGUAAAGGCAACAGCAGGGCAAUGAAGAAGAAAAAGAUGGGGAAAAAGAGAAGAUGGAAUGAGUGAGUGAAAGAGAAAACACUAUCUGGCCUGGCUAACAGGUUAUGCAUAAUAAAGCUUUUUUCUUCCACUACAAUCCCUCUAUCACUCUACCCAUUCUCUGACUAGCACCUAACAGGUGCACUGAUAUGUCCACCAAAGGGUUACGAUGCAUCCAAAAUGGCACCCUAAUCCCUAUAUAGUGGCUAUUCCCUAUAUAGUGGCUAUUCCCUAUAUAGUGGCUAUUCCCUAUAUAGUUGCUAUUCCCUAUAUCGCAGCUGUCGACAAUGUGCCAUUCAAAGGUAAUUUCCGAAUGCGCCGACAUCUGCAACGUUUACCAUGAAUGCAAGCAAUCUCAGCAAAUGUAGGAACAUUGCCUUUAAAAGCUGCAUUGUCAACACAGUGUGAUAAGACUGAAUCCUGGCCUUAGAGAGACAGACAGCAAUAAUACACAUCUCCCAAACACACAUCUACUGACAUCAGGUCUUCCAUACUGCCUAUAAAGACUGCAUGACUAAGAUGAUAUUAUAGGUAACAUGUUUUGAAGUUGCAUAAAUUGUGUCCAUCAUUUCUAUGAUUGUGCACACAAUUAGUCGUUUUUAAAAUUGAGAGGUUCAAAUCACAGAGGCUCAAUUCAGAAGUGGCAUUGACCCUUGUAUAUGUAUAUGCUGCCCUCCUAUCGGUCCUCAGUACCUACUUUCAAUGGAGUGUUUUGCACAAUAGAAUUGCAUCAAGUCGGAAGAGAGGGAUGAAUGGAAAUCACUCUACUGGGCCAUUCUCUGCCACAUGGGGAUUGUGUGGUUGUGAAUAGAUAGUUGUUGUUGUUGUUUGUGUUGUUCCUAAUCACCAUAUUGUAAUGGUCCCUGGAGAUCGCUGUGCUCUGACUGACAACACGCUUUCACAUACAGUACAAAGUGCCUGAGCUGGCAGAGAGAGAGGGAGGGAAACAGAGAAAGGUGGAGGGAUAGAGAGGAAGGGAGACAGAGAAGGAGAGAGUGGUGUGGAGGAAGGGAGAAGGAAAGAGAAAGGGGAAGAGAGGGAGAGAGAAAGAGAGAGUCCCCUCUUUAGCUGUUUGUCACAACCAAACAAAGAAACACACCAUUACAGCUAUUAAAGUUCUGAAAGCUCCCUCUGAUUACAGCACAGUCUAACUGGAGAUUAUCCAUCACACACACUUACACACGCACACACACUUCUAGGGCCGUCCAGGGGCAUUUUGAAGGGAAAAUACAUCCAAAACUUUCCUGAUAAUUUGGUUAAUAUAUCCUAACCACAACUAAAAUACCAAUAAUUUCUGUAUUACUUUAAACUCUUGGUCUAACUCUUAACAUUUCAUAAAGUGACCACCAAACUCCUUUAACUACAUUUAGAUGUCAUAACCAAUUAUAACAUUUGUGCAGCCAUCACCGUGCUUGGAUGAACUGAAUGAACUGCUACUAUUGUUACAUAAAAAUAUGUUAUGAGAAUAACACAAUUAAUCACAUUUAUUUCAUAAAUUAACCUUUUACUAAUCAAGAAACAGUUCAUACAAACACCAUUACCUGGUUUCACUUCCAUUUUGAUAUCGAGAAGAAUGUAUAAAGGACAAAUAAACCAGGUUACUGCUGUGCAAUCUCACAUGCAUCCCUAUCAAUGAAUGGGCCAAUUUCCAAUUCAGUUUUUCUUAAAUUGAAAAAAAAAAACAUUUACUUGGUUCUGGAAGUAUUCUAAGAGUGAUUAAUAGGCUGCAUAAAUAUGAUUAGUGUCCCCCCUUUCACAAUUGUGGGCUUCAAAUGUGUUUUAAGGAGGAUAAGUUGCUGCUUCUUGUCAGAGUCUAGGAGACGGGAAAGAAACAGGCUUGCUUCAUCCUACUGCCUGAGAUUCAGAGAAACAGCCCUUCUCUAAUUCUGUACCCUACUAAAAACAUUAGAGGAUGAAGGGGAGACAAUUAGAGCAAUAGAGAGGAAGAGACCAGUCCACACAGACACCAAACCUUGGGACCACAUCACCUCCACCCUCAAACUCCACUGGCUCCCAGUUCAAUACAGGAUCAUCUUCAAAAUGCUCACAUAGCUUACUGACCUCCUGCACCCCUACACUCCCACCUGUUCACUGCGCUUUUAUGACAUUGGCCUCCUAACCAUCUCUCACACCAGGCUCUACUCCAUGGGAGACAAUGCUUUUAGCAUUGCAGCCCCCCCC
Molecule: long non-coding RNA, 3393 nt
Filed under: Salmo salar (Atlantic salmon)
Lineage: Eukaryota; Metazoa; Chordata; Actinopteri; Salmoniformes; Salmonidae
Description: lncRNA (ENSSSAG00000103978.1)
Source: RNAcentral